This 515-nucleotide ribosomal RNA is filed under the name uncultured bacterium. RNAcentral's name for it is "bacterial SSU rRNA". It matches the Rfam family "Bacterial small subunit ribosomal RNA", at positions 28 to 527 of the family's 1533-position model. The record is from RNAcentral.
GAUGAACGCUAGCGAUAGGCCUAACACAUGCAAGUCGAGGGGCAUCACAUGAAGUAGCAAUACGGAUGGUGGCGACCGGCGCACGGGUGAGUAACACGUAUGCAACCUGCCUUCAACAAGGGGAUAACCCGUUGAAAGACGGACUAAUACCCUAUAACACAGGGGUCCCGCAUGGGAAUAUUUGUUAAAGGACAACCGGUUGAAGAUGGGCAUGCGUUCCAUUAGCUAGUUGGCGGGGUAACGGCCCACCAAGGCAACGAUGGAUAGGGGAACUGAGAGGUUUAUCCCCCACACUGGUACUGAGACACGGCCCAGACUCCUACGGGAGGCAGCAGUAGGGAAUUUUCGGCAAUGGGGGAAACCCUGACCGAGCAAUGCCGCGUGAACGAUGAAGGUCUUCGGAUUGUAAAGUUCUGUGAUUGGGGAAGAAUGGUAUUCUUAGGGAAUGAGGAGUACAUGACGGUACCCGAUUAGAAAGCCCCGGCUAACUAUGUGCCAGCAGCCGCGGUAAGUCA